This 511-nucleotide ribosomal RNA is filed under the name bacterium PL3. Its description in RNAcentral is "bacterial SSU rRNA". It matches the Rfam family "Bacterial small subunit ribosomal RNA", at positions 92 to 588 of the family's 1533-position model. The record is from RNAcentral. RNAcentral also lists the same sequence under 1 other name.
UUAGCGGCGGACGGGUGAGUAACACGUGGGUAACCUGCCCAUAAGACUGGGAUAACUCCGGGAAACCGGGGCUAAUACCGGAUAACAUUUUGAACUGCAUGGUUCGAAAUUGAAAGGCGGCUUCGGCUGUCACUUAUGGAUGGACCCGCGUCGCAUUAGCUAGUUGGUGAGGUAACGGCUCACCAAGGCAACGAUGCGUAGCCGACCUGAGAGGGUGAUCGGCCACACUGGGACUGAGACACGGCCCAGACUCCUACGGGAGGCAGCAGUAGGGAAUCUUCCGCAAUGGACGAAAGUCUGACGGAGCAACGCCGCGUGAGUGAUGAAGGCUUUCGGGUCGUAAAACUCUGUUGUUAGGGAAGAACAAGUGCUAGUUGAAUAAGCUGGCACCUUGACGGUACCUAACCAGAAAGCCACGGCUAACUACGUGCCAGCAGCCGCGGUAAUACGUAGGUGGCAAGCGUUAUCCGGAAUUAUUGGGCGUAAAGCGCGCGCAGGUGGUUUCUUAAGU